Long non-coding RNA from Gallus gallus (chicken), 6581 nucleotides. RefSeq lists it as uncharacterized. The transcript has 4 exons. The record is from RefSeq and is a predicted model, not a curated record. Lineage: Eukaryota; Metazoa; Chordata; Aves; Galliformes; Phasianidae.
CAUUGGCUCUGGAAAUGCUGCAGAAUGAGCCAUGUCCCUGCAUACAGAAAUAAAACUGAAAGGAGCCAGGUAGAAGAGUUGUGCUAGUGAGUUUUGCUCAGCACCUUGUAUACAGAACACUGACCCCUGUCCUAGUGAACAGUGAGUUCUGUUCUGGAACUCAGGCCUGCACCAGGCAGCUUCAGACAUGGGCAAUAACUGAAAUCCGUUGCAGAGGAAGGGUGCCUAUUUUGGGACUCCACAUCUGGAUGCCAUACUACAGGUGAGAUCUCUCCAGUGUGGAGAAAAGGGGCAGGAUCACCUCCCUCACCCUGCUGGCCACGCUUCUUUUGGGGAAGCCCAGGAUACAGUUGGCUUUCUGUGCUGCAUCUGUAGGACAAGAGGCAGAAAUACUGUAAAGCACAGGGAGUGAUCAUGGGAGACUGCUUUGUAUUUUGCAUUUUUGAAGGCCUUAUCUUACACGUGAAUGCUCAGAUGGUAAGUAAGACUAAGAUAAAUAAAAGCCCUAGAGUUCAGCAUUAGGAAACUUCAGUGUAAGUUGCAUAGACAAAACUGAAAAUUUGAACUUAAAUGCCUUGAGCCAUAAGGGACAAUUUUCAGAAUAUGAAUUAGCUGAAUCCAUAUUUCUCAGCAGUAAACACUGAAUUAUUCUUCCUACUUGCUCUGUUAAGUGUUGGUAGGAACACUCCAUAAAAACAAAAGUAGUAAUUUUUAAAAGAAAAAAAUGGAGCUGGAGUUUUCAAUCUGAUUUGUUUUCUGCUUAAGUAGGGAAAAAGUUAAUUCUCUUGCGUUAUCUCAGUUCUUUUACUUUAAAGACAGCAAGUUGUUCUCAAAGUAAUUCCAAAGUAAAUCUGUACCCAUCCGGUACAGGCAACAUGACAUCAAAUUUGCUCCAUCUACUAGUAAUGACAAUUGAGAAACUACUGGUGAAAUUAUGAUGUAGAUUGGAUGCAGGGGAAGAGAAAAUGUAUCUAAACUGUUCUUAUUUGCUUUCUCUAAGCAUGUGCUGCUGGAAAUAUAUUGGACCAGGAUGGACCUUUUAAUUGGUCCAGUACACAGUUUCUUCUAGGACUGAAGAGCAAGAAUGAAAUAUUAGGUUUUGGUUUUAUCAGAUCAUAUCAGAUUUUCAUGUGUAAUAUUUACUAGAAAACACCAAAGUAGUGUAAUGAUAUUUAUAUUUUGAAAGCUGGUAGGUAAUUACUUUAUCGAAGGAUCUUGUACUGCAACUCCUGCAGAAAAACAAUCAAUCUUCGGAAGAGAUUUAAGUAAGGAUCUUACGCUGUUCUACAUGUUAUAUUUAUGAUAAAAUACCUUGGAUUGUCUAUGUAGAUGAAUAUAAUGCUGCUCAUGUUUCAAGCUGUGAUCUGUUUUGUAUUCCCGUUUUCCAAAUUGAGCAAGCUUUGCGUAUAUUGCAGAGCAUAGUCACAUGGUUUACCUUUCCGUUCUUGUACCAGCUGAUUUACAGGGUGAUCCUAGAGAUUAUCCUGUAAUCACAAUAAUUGUAAAAAUCUAGAUUUUACUAUUGCUAAUCUUUCUAUAUGCUUGAAAUUCACAUUCUCUCCUAUCUGAACCUAAACUCACCUCAUUAAUUAUCCUUUGUUUCUCACUGUGUAGUAAACCUUCUCUUUUCACUUUCCAGUCUUUUUUCUAGAAAAAAGAAAUCCAAUUUAUAACUCAUAGUUUAUAAGCAGCAAAGUUUUAAUGUAAGUAACUUUUUAAUUAGUGUAGCUUUGUAUUUAAUGUUAGCAUCUUUGGAGAAUGACUAGCCAAAUUUCUUCUGUAUUCCUGAUUUACCAAGAUCUAAAAUAUAAUUUAUUUUUCCUUUGAGCUGCAGCAAGCUUCUUUGUAUGCCUCUGAGAAGUGGAGUUUGCCUUUGCAAUAAAUUCUGCCUCUCUUUGAUUUUAGUCAGUAUUGUUUUAAUAAGAAAGCAAUAGUGAUUUUGCUUCUGCAGAUCUACGGCAAUGAUAUUAAGGAACUAAACAGACUUUCUGGAGCCAAUUAGUAUUUUAUAACACAUUGGUUUCGUGUUAGUUGCCUUAUCUAUAAGAGAGGGACAAGUGACUUUGUUACUUUUGAACUUCUCUGCUCCGUGGGGCAUGGCAAAUUCAGAGAAAUAAAUUGCAUAUCUUUUAUUAUUAUUAUUACUAUUAUUAUUUUUAUUAUUAUUAGUCCAUAUUGGCUUAGCAAGGAAGAAAGCCCCAUGAAAUGCUCAAUACUAUAUGUAUGUCAGAAACUGGUGUCUUUUUUUUUCUUUCUUUUGCUAAAACAUAGAGUGGUUCUAGCAGGAACAGUACUGCUUCAGCAAUCAGUUUCAAAGGAUAAGUGCUCUAUUUUCUAGAGAAAUAUUUUUUCAUUUUGUACAGUGCAAAUCUUUUCUUACGUGAAAAUGGGAAAUGCAAACUCAAUAUAUUUUUGUUAGUAUUUACCAUAGUAUUCUGAGGGCCUUGAAGAUGUGCAGAGUGAAAUCUGACACUGCAGAUAAUAAGAUGAUAUCCAAUGACAGAAUUAAUGUACUCAUAAAGAACACUGGAAACAUUAUUUCUAACCCUUUAAAUAUUUCACAAUAUUGUAAGUAAAUAAUUUUAACUAAAUGAUUUAUAAGAAUUUUCAUUUAUUUGAGGGACCUUACUAUAAACUGUGAUGUUUUUAGAAGAAUAUUGGAUUCUGUAGUGAAAUGUAAAGGCAUUUUGGUGCAUUUCAUAGCCCCAAGAUUUAAUUAUUGACUGGAAACAGUCUAUAAUUUACUUCACUUUAUCUCAAGUUAUUUUGUAUCGCAUUUGUCAUUUUGUCAUCCAGUCACUCAUGUUAAGGUCAUUCUACAAUUUUUCACCAUUGGACCUUGCCUUUACUGCAUUUAAUAACUUAAGUUUCAUUGUAUUUUGUUGCUAGUUACGCUAUUUUGGAUCAUUCACUGAUUUAUGGAAUAACGUCAUUUAGAUACUGAUGUACAGUAUCACACAUCCCUGUCAUUCUACUGUGAGAAUUUACCAUUUACUCCCGUAUUUUGCUUCCUGUCUUUUAUCUAAGUAUUAAAGUAUGCAUAUACCCUCUUUGUUAUUGCAUAACAACUUACUUUCUUCAGAAAGCUGAGGAUGGAAGGGAGGACUCUUGGAACACUUUUGGAGUCCAGAUACUUGUCUCUCUACUGUUGUAUUUCAAGGAACUUGAGUGAGUCACUGAGGUGUAACUUCUUCAUGGAAAACAUAUUUUCGUUCUUCCUUCUUUUGUCAUAUUAUAUGCACUCCUACUAAUUCUGCUCUUUAGUAUGGGAAAGCACGAGACCUGUUUACCACCUUCACGUUGCCCUGAAUUCUUUUUAAGGAAUGAUCUCUCUCCAGGAUGCUCAUGACAAAGCAAUUUCAAAUGAGGGGGGGCACAUUAUUGUUUUGUCAUUUUCUCAAGUUCCUACAUCUGGAGGCAGUUUUAAUUAUGUUUUUCUUUUAUUUUUCCACGCCACUCUUCAACUAAAACUUCAGUUUAAGACAGACUGUCUGUUAAAUCUUCUAUUUUGCCCCAUCAAAAACAACAAAGCUAAAUCAGCUGAAUAAGACAUUGAUAGCCAAUUGUCUGUGGGAGCAAUCUACAGAAUUUUCUAUUAGAAUAAACAUAUUCUUAUUUCAUAAUAUACUAUAAUGGUGGCAAUGUGCUUUAGCCUAAGACUUUUUGAAGUAUUUAAAUCUGUGCCCAUGGACUCUUUUAGCAUGUAUCUUUCUGGUAGAGUAAUACUGCUACAAAUCCUAAUUUACACUACUGUGACAUAAAAACAUGCUCUUGCUAUUUUUCCUCUACAUGAGUAGAUGCAAAAUAUAUAGAUUCAAUGAGGUACUGAGUUAUUUCACUAUGUUGAUAAUCUCAUGAUCCCAGUGCUGUUCCAGCUGACAGUCUUAUUCUUUAUCAAUAUUUGUUAAAUUUUUGUUUGUCUUUCAUUUGUCUCAGGCCACUAAAACUGGCCAGUUGUGACUUUUACUUGUUGAUGAACAAUUUAUCUUUUUCCAUCUGGAACUAUUUUGAUGUUUUUCUAAAUCUACAUUUAAAGAAACACUGAAGCAAGAGAUUUAUAAUCUCAGAAGUAACUAAGAUCUCCUUCAAAUGAGUUGGAUCUCUGAAGAAAAGUCCACUUAAUUAGUUGAAUGCAUUACUUCUCAGUUUUAGUAGUGUAUUUUAUAGAUUUAGUAAUAUUUUCCCUUGUGUGUGAAUGGGCAUAAGCUGGCUUACAUUUGAAUCCUAGAAGCUGAAAUGCAGUAUUGGUCUUACAAAAGUAGGUUGCAAAUAGUGACUGCAAUUUGCACUGUAGAGUUAUACAGCACUGUACUGUUACAAUCUCAGAAGGAAGAAUUUAGUACUAAGGGAGAAUAUAUAUAUGUACAGUGCAUAAGAAAUGUAUGAUAUGACAGAAGCAUGCUGCACCUGCUGGUAAAAAUCUGCACUUGAUACCUCUCCUAGAGUAUUUAGGAGAUAAAUAUAAAGCAAAAGAUAAAAACAACAACAAAACAGUAGGGAAAUGUUCUCAAGUCAAAGCAUAUGGAGAGAAGCCUUUAGAAGCUAAAACUGCAUUUUUGGCUUCACAGCUACUGCUGACCCAAUGACCUAAUUUAUUUCGGUUGGAAAGUCAUGCUGUCUAGCUGAUGUAGUGUUGCAGAUCUCUUAAGUUAUGCAUUCCUGUAAUUUGAAAGUAUUUUUGCUUCCAUAAUUACUGUAAAACAGCAGAAUUACCUUGUGAAGACAGAAUAGAGAUUAGUAGAUUAGAAAAACUGCAUAACUUGUGCUAAUAUUUUUGCAGUUUUAAUGUCUGGUAAGCUUGUGAAAACCUGCAUCUUGUUGGAAUCAAUGAUUUUCCAUGAACUGCAGUUUUUCACCUUGUCCAGUUUGUCCUUCUCACAGAAUUACAGUCAGUACUUCCUUUUUACAGUGCUCACCUUCCACACAGUGGAUAGAAUGUGGCUAUUUGCUUUUCUUAGUCCAACCUUCUCAGACAAUAUUUGCUGAAGUGCCUGCAGAUAUGAAUUGCUUAUACUGAAGAGAUAUGAAAGUCAGGAUUCUCCUUCCUUAGUAGGUGGUAUAGCUUGUAGGUUGCUAUGAGAAAGAUUCUCACACUAUACUUUUCCUUGAGCAAUGUUUCUAAAAUAAGACGACCUUAUUUUUAUGUUUGUUUUUGCUACAGGGCUAUGCAAAUUUGUGCUGAGUCAAAUAUAUGCAUUACAUGUCGUUUGGAGUUGAAGUUAAAAAUGUUAUCCUGCUCUUAACUGCAGCAAAAAUUAAACAUAGGAUAGGUACUCAGCCUAUGUAGUUCUAUGCAAGUGUGCUUUAGUACAGAGAAGGUUUUUGUUUUUGUUCAAAAUGGAGGUGAUAGUUGCCUCCAGCAUUAGAGAACAUAUGAAAGGAAUCACUCUCAAUCCUCUCUCUCUGAGACUAAGGCAUCUACUUUUUGUCUGUGUCUAAAACAAAUUGUGAUCACUUCAAAUCAAGCCUUAAGCUACUCUUAACUGCUUCGUGUUCUAAUAAGAAAACAUGAUGUUAUUUCUAGGUAAGCAGUGAGCAGUACCUCUUCUCCUCAGCUCGUGUUGGGUAAAUAAGUUUUUCUCCAAAAAUAUCCAUAUCCUUUUUGUGAGAUGAAUAGUUAGGUUGAAUAGUGGUCCUGAUGGCACAAAAAGUCAGUACAAUUACGCAGUCAUUAUGUAAAUGAAUUCUGCCUCACUGAUUUCUUACUGAAUGAUAUAGGAGACAUUAAGAUAAGAUCUGAUAUAUUCAAAGAAUAACAUGAAUUUGAAUUUGGAAUGCUGACCAUGGAAAAAAACAAGCAAACAACAAAAAAGGUGAGCCAUUUGUAGCAUGUGGAUAAAAAAUAAAAUACUGAUGUUUUUGGUAUAUGUCUACUUUUUUUUUUUUUUCUUUUUGUCACAGAUAUUAAGCAAUAAAAUGUGGUAAAGUAUCAGAGCAAAAAAUAUAAUCAAAGUGGUGCAUUUGUGUCUUCAGUGCUUCUGGCCAAAGAACAUUUCUUUUUGGCAGUCUGCAUAUUGAUAAUGCCAUACCUGCAGAGAAUAUGCAGAUAAACUUCCUAAAACUGGACAGCCCUUGUACAAAUCUAUAUUUCAUGUAGCACUUUUCUUGUUUUCAUGUCAUGUCCCAUUUAUUCAAAGAAAUGGGACUGAAGGUUGCCUCAAUUUAACCAUCAACUGGACAACAUGCAGUGGAUAGGAUCUAAGUUGAACCAGUGACCACUGAGAUAUGUUAUAUAUUCUGCACAUUCGUGGUAUAACCUCUAGGAACAGCAGGAUGUGUUCUUGCUCCAAAUAAGCCAAAAUAAUUAUUACAGGCAUGGUGCAGGAAACAUUUCCUCACAGCUGCAUUUAUAUGCUGAGAUAACAAGCAUUUAUUGUUCUAGAAACAGGGAGGAUGCUCACAACUGCUCUUGGGGGCAGACUAAAGAAUUUUUUUGACCAGUACUCAUCAUCUGGAAUCUUGUGGAAGAAAUCCAGGAGCAACUGGAUGCUACCUGGAAGAGGUUCCCUCUGACUCACAGGAGAUGCUUCUGCUGCUGCUUUCAGCUGAAUUAUCAUUUCAGCAAACUCAUACUUCAAAUA